UGCAUUAAGGGUUGAUGAAAACGUCGCUGAUAUCAAAGGAAACUGUUUACAUUGGUGAACAUAGAAUUUGAUGCUUGUUUUGCAGACUCCAAAAGAUGUUGGGACAGGGCUCUUGCACCUUGGUGACUGUGUCAACCAGAUUCAGUGGCGGGUACAAGGAGUGAGGACACCAGCUCCGGUCCCCGUCCCUCUGCUGUCCCCGGCGCUGCUGCGGCAGGAUUCUCCAGGCUGGGUUAAAGACUCGGUGAAAUCUAUUUUGUAACAGACAGACCAGGAGCAACUUCCACAGAGACCUACUGCGCCAACUCAUGAAGUCAGCAAGCCUGAAGGAAUCACAUCGCCUUGAAGCCACCGCAAGGACACGGAAGGCGGUUGAAAACAUAACUCAGCCUCCUCAGCGAGCACCUGGCUGUGCCCUCACCCAGAGGAGACUGCGGAAAGCCCACAGAACGGAGAUACAGAGACAGACCCAAAGACAUAGUCAACGAGAAGCUGCUGAGGAACACGAGGGUCCCUGUACAUCCCCUGAGGUCUGA
Molecule: long non-coding RNA, 536 nt
Filed under: Calidris pygmaea (Spoon-billed sandpiper)
Lineage: Eukaryota; Metazoa; Chordata; Aves; Charadriiformes; Scolopacidae
Description: lncRNA (ENSCPGG00000011436.1)
Source: RNAcentral